Molecule: ribosomal RNA, 100 nt
Filed under: Rhododendron molle
Lineage: Eukaryota; Viridiplantae; Streptophyta; Magnoliopsida; Ericales; Ericaceae
Source: RNAcentral
CAUACCACUAAUGCACCGGAUCCCAUCGGAACUCUGUAGUUAAGCGCGCUCAGGCUGGAGUAGUACUGGGAUGGGUGACCUCCCGGGAAGUCCCGGUGCU